AUAUUACACUCAUAUGCACUCAUGUUUAGCGAAUGGUCCUACGACACGAUCAGUGAACAAAACUUAAUUGGAUCGACACGUAAAGAUACGAUCAUUGUCAUUGGUCGCUUCAAACCUGAUUCGACCUUCAAGCGCUGAAGCUCCGCCCAGACACACAUGCUAACAACUCACAUGAUAAACAUAGCAAGAGUUUUGUGAAUGAAUCAAUGGGUGAAAUGUGUAUUUGUUUACACAUAUCAUCGGGAGUUUCCCUUGCAUUUCUAGUGUUGAUGUGUAAAUUUUAUAAAUGUAUAAGUAUAAGUAUUAUUCAAGUCUUUUGUUUUACGUUUGAUCAAUGUAGAUAUCUUUUCACGGCGUCACAGAGAUAUAAAGUCAAUUAGAUCCCAUGCACAUGCAGAGGCGGAUCCAGCCUCAAAAGGUGCGAGUUUUUUUUUUUGUAUUUAAUUUUGUUUUUUUGAAGGGGGGGGGGUCUUACAAUAGGAAAAAUGGGUGUUCCAACCAGUCCAUACGUCUCCAUUUAAAAACAUUGAUCGUCAAUGUAUUCGCCACUGACAUGUUAUUUCUGUUUUUAAAUGUUUAAAAAGGAAGAAGAUUACGUCAAUAAUUAAUAAACGACAAAAAUAUCCAAAAAACUGUUCAAGGUACACAUUCAAUUAGAAAGGAAAGCCUUAAAUAACUAACUAAACCAUACGCUCCACUAUAUGGUCAAUCAACGGAAGGAAUGGAUGUCAUAUUCCUG
This 739-nucleotide long non-coding RNA is filed under the name Mytilus galloprovincialis (Mediterranean mussel). Lineage: Eukaryota; Metazoa; Mollusca; Bivalvia; Mytilida; Mytilidae. The record is from RNAcentral.